CAUGCAAGUCGAGCGGUAGCACAGAGAGCUUGCUCUCGGGUGACGAGCGGCGGACGGGUGAGUAAUGUCUGGGAAACUGCCUGAUGGAGGGGGAUAACUACUGGAAACGGUAGCUAAUACCGCAUAANGUCGCAAGACCAAAGUGGGGGACCUUCGGGCCUCAUGCCAUCAGAUGUGCCCAGAUGGGAUUAGCUAGUAGGUGGGGUAACGGCUCACCUAGGCGACGAUCCCUAGCUGGUCUGAGAGGAUGACCAGCCACACUGGAACUGAGACACGGUCCAGACUCCUACGGGAGGCAGCAGUGGGGAAUAUUGCACAAUGGGCGCAAGCCUGAUGCAGCCAUGCCGCGUGUGUGAAGAAGGCCUUCGGGUUGUAAAGCACUUUCAGCGGGGAGGAAGGCGNUGAGGUUAAUAACCUUGUCGAUUGACGUUACCCGCAGAAGAAGCACCGGCUAACUCCGUGCCAGCAGCCGCGGUAAUACGGAGGGUGCAAGCGUUAAUCGGAAUUACUGGGCGUAAAGCGCACGCAGGCGGUCUGUCAAGUCGGAUGUGAAAUCCCCGGGCUCAACCUGGGAACUGCAUUCGAAACUGGCAGGCUAGAGUCUUGUAGAGGGGGGUAGAAUUCCAGGUGUAGCGGUGAAAUGCGUAGAGAUCUGGAGGAAUACCGGUGGCGAAGGCGGCCCCCUGGACAAAGACUGACGCUCAGGUGCGAAAGCGUGGGGAGCAAACAGGAUUAGAUACCCUGGUAGUCCACGCCGUAAACGAUGUCGAUUUGGAGGUUGUGCCCUUGAGGCGUGGCUUCCGGAGCUAACGCGUUAAAUCGACCGCCUGGGGAGUACGGCCGCAAGGUUAAAACUCAAAUGAAUUGACGGGGGCCCGCACAAGCGGUGGAGCAUGUGGUUUAAUUCGAUGCAACGCGAAGAACCUUACCUGGUCUUGACAUCCACAGAACUUUCCAGAGAUGGAUUGGUGCCUUCGGGAACUGUGAGACAGGUGCUGCAUGGCUGUCGUCAGCUCGUGUUGUGAAAUGUUGGGUUAAGUCCCGCAACGAGCGCAACCCUUAUCCUUUGUUGCCAGCGGUUCGGCCGGGAACUCAAAGGAGACUGCCAGUGAUAAACUGGAGGAAGGUGGGGAUGACGUCAAGUCAUCAUGGCCCUUACGACCAGGGCUACACACGUGCUACAAUGGCAUAUACAAAGAGAAGCGACCUCGCGAGAGCAAGCGGACCUCAUAAAGUAUGUCGUAGUCCGGAUUGGAGUCUGCAACUCGACUCCAUGAAGUCGGAAUCGCUAGUAAUCGUAGAUCAGAAUGCUACGGUGAAUACGUUCCCGGGCCUUGUACACACCGCCCGUCACACCAUGGGAGUGGGUUGCAAAAGAAGUAGGUAGCUUAACCUUCGGGAGGGCGCUUACC
This 1412-nucleotide ribosomal RNA is filed under the name Klebsiella pneumoniae. RNAcentral describes it as "bacterial SSU rRNA". It matches the Rfam family "Bacterial small subunit ribosomal RNA". The record is from RNAcentral. Lineage: Bacteria; Pseudomonadati; Pseudomonadota; Gammaproteobacteria; Enterobacterales; Enterobacteriaceae.